Molecule: long non-coding RNA, 6601 nt
Organism: Clupea harengus (Atlantic herring)
Lineage: Eukaryota; Metazoa; Chordata; Actinopteri; Clupeiformes; Clupeidae
Exons: 5
Source: RefSeq, a predicted model, not a curated record
ACCAUCAAGAACUAAGAGUUUUAAUCAGAUCAGAAAAAGGAAUAUUCGUCCGAUCACAAACCUACAAAUCAGACAUAACACUACGUCAGCGGUGCUCUGCCAACCCCACAGCUCUUUUUUCGGAGUCACACCUUUGUGUGGCGCUCUGUUGGAUUGUGGAGGUACUCCCUGAAGUGUCCAGGGUGCAACCCCACCACGGCUGUCUGUACAUCAAGGGCACUGAAAAUAUGCAGGGGGUGGGGGAGGAGACACCUUUGAUUGGAAGAUGGCUCUUUAAGUGCUUGCCAUUCCCAUGCAUCGACAAGUCUCACACCUCAGUCACUGGUACCCCAUAGAGAUGACCGUUUGAAAGAAACAGACAAUGGCUCUGCAAUGGCCCAACCUUAGAGCACCAGCACACACUCCUGUGAAUAACAUGGCCUUUAUUCAGAAUGCGUUAGAGACCUUGCCUAAACAUGACAACAUACGUAGGAAAUGGAAAUCCAUGAAUAUGGCCAAAGACAACAGGAUACAGAAUGUCAAAUGACCACACUAAAUUUGUCUUUCGAAAACCUUGGAUUUACUGCAUGGCACAGCCUCAGUCGUGGUGAUGUGAGGCAUGACAUCUGCAUGACACAGUGGUGAAGGUUUUGUUUUUAGUGCAUCUUCUAAAUCCUAUUCUUGGAGGUAAUGUUUUCAAAUGGUUAUGUGCCCUCAUGUGGCGUUAUAUACAAUUACAAUUUGCACAUUACUGUGUGUAUUAUCCACAGGUUACAACAAGCAGAUUUAAAAAAAAAAAAACUACAGCUGGGGUGUAAAAUUUGCAUAUAUCCUGGAGAUAAAUCAUAUACAAAUACAUUCAUUUAAAUGAAUCCAGUGUUUUUGUAUUAUCCUUGUUAUUUGAACCAAACUCUUAAAAGUUGAACAGGCCAACAUACUGCACGAUCACUGCAUGCCAGUCAGAGUAUUUGUCGCAUGUUUUGGCACAGCAAUACCUACAGUAGCUGGAAUAAAUGACUUAUUAUGCCUGAAUUACCUGAAGACUUCAUCUGCCGCUGUGGUUGCUAUGGCUAUUGGAGACAAGUAUCUUUGAGGUGGGCAUGUUUUUGAUUGGGUCAUUUUUGGCCGUUCUUAGUAGAGAAUGGCUUUUUAGUUGGCCCAUUCUUGUGAAUUUUCGGUGGUGGAUUGACACGUGAUUGACUGUUAUUGCCAAGCGUGGUCGUCGUGGCAUCGUUGAGUGACAUUAAUUGGCAAACAAGUUGUGUUCAAAACAAGGAAGUGAGCGCAGAGUAGGCUUCAUGCUUUUGCACUUUUGCUUUCAGCUAUAUAGAAUGCUGUCAGACUCAGACUGUAGCAGUAAGAGUGAUAUUUGUGCACUCUUGCUCGUCGUUAUUUUUGCAAAUGUACUUUGUUAAAAAAAAUGUUUUGGAUCAAGCGGGUCAUUACAUGGUAUUAAGGGAUACCAAGGCCAAACAUUUACGCUGUUUGAAACUGCGUGGUCCAACAGGCAUACCUAGAAUACGUUUCUCAGAAAUCGCUGGAAUGGAAGUCAAAACCAAUCAUGACUGCCUCGUGGAACUUACCUGGACGUUCCACAAUUCCCAUCCUCAGAGCUUAUCAUUAUGCAGAGUUUCCCAAGGUCAUUGGCGCAGUGGACUGCACGCAGAUCCCCAUCAAAUCACCCUCUGGCCCGAACAAGGCAGAUUUUGUCAGUCGAAAAGGCUUUCACAGCAUUAAUGUGCAGAUGAUCUUUGACUCCACCUGCCAUAACAAAUGUUGAGGCCAAGUGGCCGGGCUCUGUCCACGACUCCGGGAUAUUCAGAGAGUCUACACUGUGCCACAGCUUCGAGCAAGGGCUGCGGGUGCCACCAGACUGGGCAUGUGACAUCACUGUGGCAUGUGCAGUGCUCCACAAUGUGGCUACAAUCAGGAAGGAGAGGAUCCCAGUUAUCAUGGACCAUCCUGAGGAUGACCUAGAGCCAGUCCACUUGGAUGAGCAGACCGGACCGGCUGCAAGGGACAGAAUUGUCCACCAUCAUUUUAGUUAGGUGUUCAGAUGACUUUGGGUAAUGUUGGACUCAUUUCAUGUUUUUCUCUAUGUUUGCAUGUUUCAUUUAUGUGGUUAAUGGGUAUAUGGUUUGCCACUCUUUUUGCUUUUAAGUUACCCAUUAAUAGUCCAUCCCCACCUUAUCAAUCACCGUAUGGUUUGCCGCCUCUACUGCCAAGGACAAAGGCAGACUGCAGCAGAUCAUUCGGUCAGCCGAGAAGGCCAUCGACUGCGACCUGCCGUCCUUCCCAGACCUGUUCCACUCUAAGACCAGCAAGAGAGCAGGCAGGAUCAUUGCUGACCCUUCCCAUCCCGGCCAUCACCUCUUCCGGAGACUCCCAUCCGGCAAAAGGUUCCGGUACAUUAAAACCAAAACCUUGCGCCACCUGAACAGUUUCUUCCUCACAAACAAGCCCCCUGCACCACACUGACUCUGGGACCCCUAAGCCCCCCCCCCCCCCCUGCUUUUUAUUCAACACAUACAGUGAGUGCUAACAUUAUCUGGAUGUGUGAUCUUGCCCAUUUCAGACUUAAAGUUUAUUGUUACUUGUUGAAGCCAUUAAAGAGCGCUGCCUAUCAGAACACAAUCUCAGUUGCAUUUGUAUAAGCAAAUGCUUUACAAUUUGUCUUGAAUUGUAACUGUACUGAUUAAAAUAAAUUAAAUAUUAAAACCAUACCUGUGUGAGUGCCUUGUCCUUCUAAAUGCAUUCCGUUAUCACUAUUGGUAGGCUGAUUGGUAAGAUGGUUCAAUAUUUCUAUCGCUAUAUGUGCAAAAGUAUCUGAUGAUAUUGUACUAGAUAGGCACAUAUCCUUACAAUUUACUUGCAAGUAAUCUGGCACUUUGUCCGUCUUUUAUGAUAGACAAAUAUACUCCCUGCAUUCAUUUAUUGACGUUGCACAAUGCACUGUUACUUGUAGCGUGCAUAAAAUGCGUGCAUCCUCCAAGCUGUCAACACCAGAGGUGAAUUGUUCGUAGCUGUUGUACACUCUGUUGUCCAGGCCUUUUGGUUGGGACCUCAUUAAUCAAUUUUUUUCCCUUUUUUUGUAUUUUUUAUGUCUGCCUUCAAGAUGGUGAAGUUGAAAUGUGUACAGAUUUCUUUGUUUGGAUAUUUUAGUUUUUGCAAAAAUCAUUGCACUGUGUUUCAUUUUAGCAGUCACACAGCUGCUCACCAUGGCCGGAGGGUGGACAGUGGAGGUUCACUGGUGAGCGUGAUGUGGGGCAGGACAGCAUUCAGCACAUCACCAUUUGUCUCCACGUCGCUCUGGUACGCCUCGUCAGCCUCAUCUGGAUCGAGCUGCCCAGGCUGAACCACCUCUUCUACUGGACCAGGUCCAUCGUCAGCAAUGUCCAGAGAGAAGGGCCCUGACUCCCCCUGUGUUCUGGCUGAACAAGUACUCCAACCCGAGCAACUCGUCAGAAGGCACAUCAGCAGGGGCCUGGAAGUUCUCCUCCACCGCCUCCCCAAACAGCUGCUGUCAACAGGUGUUGAGGCAGUCAAUCAGCAGUGCCGAGUAGAUUCUGUGGUGCCGUCCUUUGCCACCAAACACGCCAUCCGAGCUCCUGUCUGAUUUCCACCGUGCAAUGCCACUUAUCAGGUGUUUUGAAGAGGCUCACUCCGCUCUCGUCCAGGCCAGCGGGACCUUUCAGCUCCUCAAUGGCCAGGUGGAUGAGGCGGAAUGUCUCCUGAGCCCUGAGUGGGACCUUCCACAUGUGGUGUUUGAGCUGCUCCCUGGAAAUGUGAUGGCGGACCACAUCCUCAUCUGAGAGGGAGAUUUCAGUGUUGCCGGGUCUCUGGCUCCGACAGCCUUGAUGAGCAGCUCCAGUUCUUCACGGUUGUAGGCCAGCACUGCCUCAGCUAGCGCAGACUUGAACGCAUCGUACAUGGAGUUAGAGUCUGUGUGGAUGGUUGCAUCAAACCGGUGGAUCCAGUGAAAGAUGUCCAGACGCACAACCAUCCCACUGUCCACAGCUGUUGGGCCCUCCACACGGCAACACCCACGGCCCAUGUACAACAUUUUGGGGACCGGUUGAUUCUCAUUCUUCACACUCCCUAGACAGCUUCACCACCUAAACAAUAUGUCAAAUUUGCAUGAUAUGCUUACCUUUCUUUAACUAAAAUGUUUUCUAUUGUACACUAUGGCAUUAUGUUUUGAUUUACAUACUUUCUUGGUGGAAUCCAUUUUCGGCCCAGUGCCAAAAGGGGAGAGGAUCUGACUGCGGUAAUCCUGUACAUUGUUGGCCGAAGCAGGAAGCAGGAAGGGAAGGGAAGCUCUCUUGGAGGAGGUGUAGCCUGGAAUGUGUGCCCUAAUGCAGAGACGAUCUCUCCAGGUUCCACUACAGUCAUGAGGAGUGUGGUGUACAGGACCCUAUGUUGAAGGUACUCCUCAGCAUAAUUCUUCUAUAGCUAAAGCCACACAUUGACCAUAGUGUUCCUUUUGGUCUGAUCCAGGCGCACAACAUUCAUAUCCACACCACACGUGUAAGUAAAACCACAAUCAAUAUGUGGAGGUUGUUUGAGCUACUAUUUAAACAUUUAUAAAAUGCACAUAUUAAGUUCAGUAAACAUGGAUUGAUGAGCCUUUGUUAAGUUGUGAAAAAAAUUGCGGGAUCCCACAUCACCCGUGGCCUCUUGAGCAGUGAAGUGUUGUCCCUGUUAGAUUUGAACAGGGAGUCGUCUUUGAGCCUGGACAUUUCGGCAGAUGGGUUUUUCCACAGACGCACCCAACCCUCUAGCUCCACCUGCAACACCCAUAACACGUACAAAACAACAUUUGGUUAUAAAUUGUGUACAAAAAAUGUUUAAACAUUGUUUAAAGAUUGUUCUCAUUUACAUUGCGCAUAAUGUGAAUGUCACUUAAAAGGGAGUCACUCUAAAGGUUAUUCCAUGGGAGAAUCAUGAUCCUGGGUUGUGGACAGCGACUGGAUAGUGGACUCAUGCCGCUCGGGCUAAACCGCAGACUCUGGAAGAUUGGACCAAUUGGACUGAGGCAGCUUGGGGAUGUCUGGGCCGGGAACCCUGGGACUUCAGACUGACUGCGAGACUCACCCAUAAAUGGGGACUCCACAGAUUGGCUUGAGAAUAACAGCUCCGUAUCAUCUGGCCAUGAUGAAGGGUCACACUUGGAAGUGCUUGCCUGAUAUUGCUGGACAACAAAUGUAUUGUACUGUUAUGCCUAACUACCUCAUAUCACCUUGUAAAAAUCUAGAUAAACACAUUCAGACAAUGUCAGAAAAUAUAAAAUAUCAAUAGUUCUGCUGUUCCUGUUUCAUAACACUUUUUUUUUUUGUCAUGUUCCUUGUCAAUGUAUUUCCUGAACCUCUUCUGCACACUCGUGAUGUGGGUCACUGGCGUGUGCAACCACCUCCUCACAGAACUGUGUGCCUUCAGUAUUAUCUCCCCGUUCAUCACUGAAUUGCUCUUGCCUGUCCUUUUGGGUGGGGUGCUGACUGUACAGUUCCCACAUUUCCUCAAAGGUGUGAUUCUCAAACCCUCUGACCUUAGAUACACCUGUUGAUGUUGGCCUCGAGGAGAAUGGAGACUUGUGGGAAGCUCUCUGUGUAGUCUGAGGUAGUCUUUUACCCAUUGGUUCACCUUCUUAUAUUUCUAUGUGGGUUUGUCACCUCUACUCUGUGUUUGCCACGUAUGCUGGAAUCAUAUAUAUUAAUUUAGUACAGUCAUUAACAUCACUGCAAUUGUGAUGAGUAAAAAACGUUGCAAAGACGAAUAAACUAAUAUAACCUAAUAAUAGCCAUAGUUUUAAGUAAACAGACAUACAGGUCAUUAUUUUUAAAAUGCAUAGCCAACAAGGGUAUCAAAUGUUAUAUGCUUACUACUUCAUGAAGCCCACAUCAAAUUUGCUACAGUCCAGUAGAGUGGUGCAUCAUCUUAAUUGCACCAGCAGCUUUCCCAGUCACAGCUGGAGCGCCACCGCACGGGUUCCCUCUGCUCCCAGGAGCUUGUCUGCGUGAGCCAGGGCAGUGGACAGCUCUUGGUAGAUCCAACAGAUCUUUAAUUUUUUUUCAGUGCAGGCUGAUGUUAUUGUGGCUGGCUCAUACUCAAAAACUGAGUAGUCUGCUGGAGGGAGAACUGAUGGUUGUCAUGGUGUUGGGGGUAGGUCCUCUGAUGAAAUCGAUGUGGUCUUUAAAACAGCAGAUGUCAGUUUUAUUGACCAGAGGUUGACGAGUCUCUCUUGGCAGUGGAUGAAAUUACAGUCUUUGUGUUGAUUUUUGGUGAAGGAAUACAUGUUUUGCUGAGAACCUAAGGUCCUGCGGUGUAAAAUCAAUCAGCAAAGCCUACAAAUAAAUCUCUUCAGGGCAGGACUUCAGAGCGAUGAGGUAACCACAACCAGAAAUACUUCACCAGUGUGUAUAUCAAUCUGUUGUGCUGAGCACCUGUCUUGUUGAACUGGCACAAUAGCCUUAACUCUCUAUUUGACGGCACAGUGUGUUAACCUAGUGUGUUCUGUAGAGCUAUAUACAGUUGCAAUCAAAAUGAUUCAACCCCCAUUGCACAUUAGGUUUAUUGGCCAAAAUAUACAAUUUCUCAGCUGUUUGCAAUAAACAAAUUACACAAU